UUAUAAGUGAGGCUGAGCAUUCUCCAUACAUAAGAGGUUGUUUUAAUUUCGUUUCCUGUGAACUGUGUACAGACCCCGAGUGAGGUUCCUGCAGUUGCCACAACCAAUUUCCACAAACCGAGGGGCUAUAAACAACUCCAGCUUCAGCCCUGACCAUUCUGGGGCUAGAAGUCUAACGGGGGUCUCACUGGCUGGAACACCUGUGACCCAGAACUCUGUUGCUUCCUGGAGGCUCUUGGUGAGAAUCCAUCUCCUUGCCUUCAGCUUCAAAUGCUGCUUGAGACCCUUAUCUCGCAGCUGCCGCCAUCCCCAAAGCCAGCAGUGGCAGACUUGGCUUUCCCCCAUUGCCUCUCUGUUCUCUCAGGCUCCUGCCUGAUCUUGCACAUUGGACACUCUCUCCAUCUGAAAACCGGGAGGGAGCAGAUACCAGACCAUCAGGAGGGAGCAGAUACCAGACCUCCAGUGGGGGUCCUCUGAGGGGCAGAUCCCAGUCUGGACACCCAGAGAGUGCUGGGGUGGGGGUACCCUGGCCAAGGGGGUAUGGCCAGCAGCACUUUCCUUGCUCAGUGCACCAUGGGCCUCCAUUCCAUACAGGCCUGCAGAUGUGCUGGUGGCAGAACCAAGCACCCCAGGAGAGGGCCCGCGGUCCUGUCGGGCAUUGCCACAGCCUUGCCUGGAGAAGCAGGGCCUCCCCCAGUGCCCAGCUGGCCAGCAAGUUUUCAGGAACUCUACGCUUUUCCCAAAUAAGCUGUACAGGUUGUCCCAUCACCGUGUCUAAUCUGUAUGUCAUCGGAGACAACAGCAUGUUUUGCUGUCGCUCUGGUUCCAGAGAUUCUGCUCAGCCGAGGUUCCAGCGUUCUGAUGAAGAAGAUUCCGUCUCCAAAGCCUUUGAGGUCACUCCUGAUGCUGACAUGGCUGCUGAAGAGUUGGGUGACAGGCAUUGCUGCCUCCGAGGUUCCUUUGUGAGGAAUAGGUGGGGCUUCAGGAGGAAGCCAGCUGCAGCCAUUCAUGGGAGGCGGCUGUGAGACGGCCUGGCAGGACCCAGUCUCGGACCCCACCAAAGGGGAGGCUCACCCUGCACAGGAGCAUCCUGGGGCAGUAGGCUUGGCUCUUUUAAAUUUUGAGUAAGAACAAAGUAAACUUCAGGGUAAAAAAAUGAAACUGUGUUGAGUACAUAGUGGUUGAGGGCCUACAGUAUACCUGACACUUUGCCAGAACCAGGCUUCAGACCUCAGGGUUCUGGGUCUUUUGAUGUCCAGCUCCAACCCCACCAUACCCAAGCACCCUCUACCCCCACCGCAUACCCUUCACCGUGCUACCUGGCCUGGGCCAUCUCAGACCACUUGGACUCCCUCCUGAGGCCUCCAGCCCCUCAGCCCUCACACCCUGAGCCCCUCAGCCUGGAAACCAGCCACCGGCCUGGACACCAUGGGGGGCUUCAAGGUUUCCACCUCCUGCUAACCUUGGCCUGAAAGGGGUCAGUGGGACCCUGCCCUAGGCCCCUGGGAGGCUGUAUCCUUGCUUCUGCCUCAUUCUGUUCUCCAGGGCCCAAUCCUCUUCCUGCUGGGCCCUCCCAGGAUGUCCCUGAUCCUGUCACUGUGCUUCCUGGCCUAAAUCUCACCUCCUCCAGGAAGCCUUCCAGACUGAUGGCUCCCAGGCACUGGGCAUCCCCCAACCUUGCUGAGAAUGGUGGAUGCCCACCCAGGCUGAGCCCUGGUGAGCCAGAGAAGCCUGCGUCUCCCUGCAGAGUCUGCCGCAUAGUUCUCUAGCCCACUGUGAUUCCACCUAGGUCAAUCCCUUUCCAGCUUGGAUUCCCAAGAAUAACUGUGUAAUAUGCUGGAAAUGCAACAUCCUGAGAUAGAGAGAACGGCCUGAAGCAGCCGGGGUCUAGUUCCUGUUGCUCUGACAGAAGGGAACAUCAUGAGUUAGGGAGUGGCCCCUGAAGAAUAAAUGGAGGCAAAAAUCCCUAUAAGUAGAAUUCACCUGGGCCAAGGUGAAGACAGCCACUGGGGAGACUCAGACUUGGAUAUGAGCUCCGUUCAGCCUUAGUACCUCUGCCUCCCGGGUCCAACCGAUUCUCCUGCCUCAGCCUCCGGAGUAGCUGGGAUUAUAGGCGUGCACCACCAUGCCCAGCUAAUUUUUGUAUUUUCAGUAGAGACAGGGUUUCACCAAGUUGG
RNAcentral lists this long non-coding RNA (2177 nucleotides) under Aotus nancymaae (Ma's night monkey). Its description in RNAcentral is "lncRNA (ENSANAG00000039457.1)". The record is from RNAcentral. Lineage: Eukaryota; Metazoa; Chordata; Mammalia; Primates; Aotidae.